Parelaphostrongylus tenuis is the source of this 71-nucleotide non-coding RNA. NCBI's taxonomy places the organism in Eukaryota, Metazoa, Nematoda, Chromadorea, Rhabditida, Metastrongylidae. The record is from the annotation of a GenBank genome assembly.
ACCUAUGUGGUGUAGUGGUGGCAUGUGUUCCCAGUAUGGAUAAAACGCGGGUUCGAUUUCCGUCUGAGGUG